Zingiber officinale is the source of this 1306-nucleotide long non-coding RNA. RefSeq lists it as uncharacterized. The transcript is spliced from 4 exons. The record is from RefSeq and is a predicted model, not a curated record. Lineage: Eukaryota; Viridiplantae; Streptophyta; Magnoliopsida; Zingiberales; Zingiberaceae.
CUAGCCCUCUCCACCAAAACUCCAAAACUCAUCUUCGCCGAAACCAACCUUCACCCCUCCAUCCAUCGACCAACUCCCACGUCUCCACCGUCAGCCGGCCGACCACCAUCCCUCAUUCUGUCUUCUCCAAUCAAGCAGAGACCCAACAUCAUCUUCUCGACGCCAACAUAAGUUGUUGUCUUCUUCUCUAUCUUCCUCCUUUCCUACAUCUGGCCAACCACCUCCUCUCUAUCACCGCCGGUGGAGCUACUUACUCUCAUCUCUCCUAUUCAAGUUAGAAGAGGAGAGGCCAUAACUUCCUUUCAGCAGCCACCGCUCUUCCAUCCAUCAUCCGAAAACUUCUACUUAGGUUAGAGGAGGAACUGAAGCCUUCCCCUUUCUCUCUUCGGGUUAGAAGAGAGGAAGCUCCACUCCUACUUCCGGUAAUCCCCUCUUUCACCGACUCUUCUCUUCCUCAUCAAGCUCUGGAUUCAUUUUCACCACAUCACCACCUCUCCUUUUCUGGGUUAGGAAGAGGAAAGCUUUAUACCUACCACCGACAACCCCCAUUCCCUCUCCACUUCCGGUUAGAAGUGGAGAGUUCAUUUCCUCCACUCCGGCAGCCCUUCAUCGUCUCCAAACAGCUUGCUCCACUCUGGCAGCCCUCCAUAUUCCAUCUUCUGGUUAGAAGAGGGGAAGAGGUCACUUCUAGACAACCACUACAUCUGAAGGUCCAUCCGCAACUGAAGCUUCAUUCACGUCAACGAUAUUGGGGACCACUAGGAAAAACACCAAAUUACCCAUUUCAACUGAUGCUCAAUUGAGAACAAUGCGAAAGGGAUCUGACGACCAUCUUGUUCUAAACAUCGAGUCUGGGUCUGAUCAUUCAAUUGCAGCAAAGUCUGAUGCUAAAGAUAUGCAGUGGUAGGUAUUUUGUCCCAGUCUCAAGCCGACAAUUCUUUUUGAGUGUAACUAGUAGAAGUCUAGUGAAAAUACUGAAGAAGUAUGACAAGAGAACAGGAGCACUUAUCAGGCAGCCCUUCAUCGAAAAGGUGCCGCAGCAACCAUUCUUUACAACCUAUACAAUCUCGUGAAGGAGUGUGUGGUUAUGCUCGACCACCUCUUCCCCAGCAACAACCUAUCAAUUUCAGCAGAAUGCGACGGACAAAAUGGAGUGCCAAAGCCGGCAUAAUCAGGUGGGAGGGUUCCGGAGUUGGAGGAGAUUAAAUAUAUGCAGAGCUUAUACAUGAAGAGCACCGUAGCAGCGCUGCGGUCCUUGAAACAGAUUAGGAGCAAAAGUUCAACAGUCAAAACAGAUUAGAAAAUC